UACGUAGGGACCAAGCGUUGUUCGGAUUUACUGGGCGUAAAGGGCGCGUAGGCGGCAAUUCAAGUCAGUUGUGAAAUCUCCGAGCUUAACUCGGAACGGUCAACUGAUACUGUUUUGCUAGAGUGCAGAAAGGGCAACCGGAAUUCUUGGUGUAGCGGUGAAAUGCGUAGAUAUCAAGAGGAACACCUGAGGCGAAGGCGGGUUGCUAGGCUGACACUGACGCUGAGGCGCGAAAGCGUGGGGAGCAAACAGG
Molecule: ribosomal RNA, 253 nt
Filed under: uncultured bacterium
Lineage: Bacteria
Description: partial 16S ribosomal RNA
Rfam family: Bacterial small subunit ribosomal RNA
Source: RNAcentral